GGGCGGAUGAAUUUCUUCUCUAGAAGUUCCUGUAGAUGAACCUUCAACUCUCUCAGCUCUGCCGGGGCCAUCCGAUAAGGAGCCUUCGAGAUAGGCCCAACACCCGGUAAGAGAUCGAUCCGAAAAUCAAUCUCCCGAUCAGGAGGUAAUCCAGGUAGAUCAUCAGGGAAUACUUCUGGAUACUCUCUCACAACAGGGAUAUCCUCUAGCUUGGUUUCUUUUGUAGUGUCUACCACACAAGCUAGGUAGGCCUGACACCCCUUUCUGAGGGCCUUCCUUGCACUCAUUGCAGAGAUAAUGUGCAAAGAGGGAUUUAUAGUGGGUGCAUCACCCUGAUAGAAGAUUUUCUAUUCACCAGGUAUCUGAAACACUACCCUCUUGCCAAAGCAAUCAAUGUGAGCAUGAUAUUCAGA
This 413-nucleotide long non-coding RNA is filed under the name Phoenix dactylifera (date palm). RNAcentral describes it as "long non-coding RNA (PDAC_LNC017452)". Lineage: Eukaryota; Viridiplantae; Streptophyta; Magnoliopsida; Arecales; Arecaceae. The record is from RNAcentral.